RNAcentral lists this ribosomal RNA (687 nucleotides) under Faecalibacterium prausnitzii. RNAcentral describes it as "bacterial SSU rRNA". It matches the Rfam family "Bacterial small subunit ribosomal RNA", at positions 440 to 1153 of the family's 1533-position model. Lineage: Bacteria; Bacillati; Bacillota; Clostridia; Eubacteriales; Oscillospiraceae. The record is from RNAcentral.
UGAGGAAGAUAAUGACGGUACUCAACAAGGAAGUGACGGCUAACUACGUGCCAGCAGCCGCGGUAAAACGUAGGUCACAAGCGUUGUCCGGAAUUACUGGGUGUAAAGGGAGCGCAGGCGGGAAGACAAGUUGGAAGUGAAAUCCAUGGGCUCAACCCAUGAACUGCUUUCAAAACUGUUUUUCUUGAGUAGUGCAGAGGUAGGCGGAAUUCCCGGUGUAGCGGUGGAAUGCGUAGAUAUCGGGAGGAACACCAGUGGCGAAGGCGGCCUACUGGGCACCAACUGACGCUGAGGCUCGAAAGUGUGGGUAGCAAACAGGAUUAGAUACCCUGGUAGUCCACACCGUAAACGAUGAUUACUAGGUGUUGGAGGAUUGACCCCUUCAGUGCCGCAGUUAACACAAUAAGUAAUCCACCUGGGGAGUACGACCGCAAGGUUGAAACUCAAAGGAAUUGACGGGGGCCCGCACAAGCAGUGGAGUAUGUGGUUUAAUUCGACGCAACGCGAAGAACCUUACCAAGUCUUGACAUCCCUUGACGAUGCUGGAAACAGUAUUUCUCUUCGGAGCAAGGAGACAGGUGGUGCAUGGUUGUCGUCAGCUCGUGUCGUGAGAUGUUGGGUUAAGUCCCGCAACGAGCGCAACCCUUAUGGUCAGUUACUACGCAAGASGACUCUGGCCAGACUGCG